AGAGUUUGAUCCUGGCUCAGAAUGAACGCUGGCGGCGUGCCUAACACAUGCAAGUCGGAUGUGCCGCAAGGUGCAUGGCAGACGGGUGAGUAACGCGUAGGGAAUCUACCUUUUUGUGGGGAAUAACGCUCCGAAAGGAGUGGUAAUACCGCAUGAGACCGUGGCCUGGGAUGGUUACGGUGAAACCUGGGGACCGCAAGGCCUGGGGCAAAGAGAGGAUCCUGCGUCUGAUUAGCUAGUUGGCGGGGUAAUGGCCCACCAAGGCGACGAUCAGUAGCCGGCCUGAGAGGGUGAUCGGCCACACUGGAACUGAGACACGGUCCAGACUCCUACGGGAGGCAGCAGUGGGGAAUUUUGCGCAAUGGACGAAAGUCUGACGCAGCAACGCCGCGUGGGUGAUGAAGGUCUUCGGACUGUAAAACCCUGUCGUCAGGGACGAAGGUUGAGGGGUUAAUAACCCUUCAGCUUGACGGUACCUGGAGAGGAAGCCCCGGCUAACUCUGUGCCAGCAGCCGCGGUAAUACAGAGGGGGCAAGCGUUAUUCGGAAUUAUUGGGCGUAAAGGGUGCGUAGGCGGUCGUUUAAGUAGGAUGUGUAAUCCCCGGGCUUAACCUGGGAACUGCAUCCUAGACUGGACGACUUGAGUACUGGAGAGGGUGGUAGAAUUCCACGUGUAGCGGUGAAAUGCGUAGAGAUGUGGAGGAAUACCAGUGGCGAAGGCGGCCACCUGGACAGUAACUGACGCUGAGGCACGAAAGUGUGGGUAGCAAACAGGAUUAGAUACCCUGGUAGUCC
This 794-nucleotide ribosomal RNA is filed under the name uncultured bacterium. RNAcentral's name for it is "bacterial SSU rRNA". It matches the Rfam family "Bacterial small subunit ribosomal RNA", at positions 8 to 796 of the family's 1533-position model. The record is from RNAcentral.